UGAUCCAGCNAUGCCGCGUGAGUGAAGAAGGCCUUCGGGUUGUAAAGCUCUUUCGGCCGGAACGAAAUCGCGUACGUGAAUAACGUGCGUGGAUGACGGUACUGGAAGAAGAAGCACCGGCUAACUACGUGCCAGCAGCCGCGGUAAUACGUAGGGUGCGAGCGUUAAUCGGAAUUACUGGGCGUAAAGCGUGCGCAGGCGGUUCCGCAAGUCAGAUGUGAAAUCCCCGGGCUUAACCUGGGAACUGCGUUUGAAACUACGGAGCUAGAGUACGGCAGAAGGGGGUGGAAUUCCACGUGUAGCAGUGAAAUGCGUAGAUAUGUGGAGGAACACCGAUGGCGAANGCAGCCCCCUGGGCCGAUACUGACGCUCAGGCACGAAAGCGUGGGGAGCAAACAGGAUUAGAUACCCUGGUAGUCCACGCCCUAAACUAUGUCAACUAGUUGUCGGGGAAGCAAUUCCUUGGUAACGAAACUAACGCGUGAAGUUGACCGCCUGGGGAGUACGGUCGCAAGAUUAAAACUCAAAUG
Molecule: ribosomal RNA, 530 nt
Filed under: uncultured bacterium Beta-169
Lineage: Bacteria
Description: bacterial SSU rRNA
Rfam family: Bacterial small subunit ribosomal RNA
Source: RNAcentral